Molecule: RNA transcript, 2934 nt
Organism: Salmo salar (Atlantic salmon)
Lineage: Eukaryota; Metazoa; Chordata; Actinopteri; Salmoniformes; Salmonidae
Gene name: protein PAT1 homolog 1
Source: RefSeq, a predicted model, not a curated record
CGCAGUCUCUCCCUGUGUGCGUACUCGUGCACAUAGACUUGGCCGCGAUCACGCGAACCCCAAUGCUGCGUAAUUUGCGCGCCGCCUUCCACCAGAGACACUUGGGAGAAUUGUACCUUUCGCGGACUGAAGAUAACGUUACAUGUUCCGUUUUCAGUCCCUUGAUGAAGAUUGUACCACGGAGAAGGAGGAGGGGCUGGUAGAAGAAGAAGAUGAGAUUGACCAGUUUAAUGACGACACCUUCGGAGAUGGGGCCAUCGACGAUGACUGGCAGGAGGAGCACAAGCGUCUAGCCGAGCUCGAAGAACAAAAGAACGACGGACUCGGAGGUUUAGGACUAGGGGCACUAGGGAUGGGGGGAAUGGGAGGAGGAAACGCCUCCGCUGUUCACCUUCCUCCUCCCGCCAGCCGCGUCCCCCACCCGUCUUCCCUCCCCCCACCACAUCACUCUCUCUCUUCGAUGCCCCCUCCGGGCCUGGAGGAGAGGGGGGGAGGCGACCUAGCCGAGUCCCUAGCCAUGUUGAUUCUCGGGGCGGACCCGGCCAUCGCCAGUGUGGGUGGUCCAGCCGGGCCUGGUGACCGGUCCACUGGUCUCCCUCCUCCCCCUUCCAUCCCCCAGCAGCACCACCACCCCUCCCAGCUCCCUCCACACCACCAGCUGACCACGUCGGGGCUACCCCCCGGCCCACCGCACCCCUCCCUGCUUAGCUACCAGCAGCAUCAGCACCUCCUACGCCGAGGGGCAGCCCCCAUGCAACAGAUGAACUCUCACAAUAUCUGGGAGAACAACAUGGGAUUUGGGCCUGUGAGCAUCACCCCUGGACUAAUCACUCAAAUGGAGGACAGUCCACUUAUGUCUAUCAUCAAAGAAGUGGGGCUGCCCAAUCGGCCCCCGCCAAUGACGAGCGAGGAUGGGCGGGACUUGUCGGAAAGGGCCCCCCCGCCUCGCUCGUCCUCUCCCGUGAUUGGUAGCCCACCAGUGAGGGCUGUGCCUAUCGGGACUCCACCCAAGCAGCCGAUGAGUCAUGCUUUGAAUCAUCAUCAGCAGCAGAUCCACCACCCCACCGCCGUUCAUGUGCGAGCCCCGGUCCACCACCAACACCGCUACCCCCCUUCCUUCCCCGAGCGCAUCUCUCCCAACACCCUCUUAAACAUCGCUAACUCUCCUCUGUGUCGUCCUCCGUUCCCGGCCGGCGUGGGCCCCGUUCUGUCCCAGAUCCAACGCGCCCAGAUGCUCAACUCUCAGGUUGCUGGCUUCCCCAGGGGCUGUCAGGGUCCCCCGUUUCUGCCUGGUGGCGGAGGCUUCAGGCCCUUCUUCGGCCAGCCCCCUCCCCACAGGAUGGGUCCCCACCCCGGCGGGCCCCCUCUCAACCACGUCCCCUGUCCCAUCAUUCGGCACAACACCACGCACCUGCACCCCCAGCACCGCCGCAUGCUCACCCAGAGGAUGCAGAGUAGAGGAGGUGAGCGUGGCGGGCGUGUGGGGGACUGGCGGAGCAGGGACCCCUACAGUAACUUGAUGACCCAGAGGGAGAAGGAGUGGGUGGCCAAGAUCCAGAUGAUGCAGCUGCAGAGCACUGAUCCCUACCUGGAUGACUACUACUACCAGAAUUACUUUGAGAAGAUGGAGAAGAGGCAGGAGCGAGACAGAGACGGCGUGAGGAAGGAGCACACCACCAAACUCAUCACCCCCCAGGUGGCCAAGCUGGAACACACCUACAGACCAGUGCAGUUUGCAGGCUCGCUGGGUAAGCUGACUGUGUCCAGCGUCAACAACCCCAGGAAGAUGAUCGACACGGUGGUGACUAGUCGCACUGACGACGAGGAGAAGAGAGAGAAACAGGUGUGGAAUAAGAGACGGCAGAUCCUCUACACUGUGGAGAAGAUGUACAGUCUGCUGCUGGAGGUGCAGGACUUUGAGAAGCGCUUCAUGCAGACGCCGGAGGAGCAGAGAGAGGCCCUGCUAGAGCAGCACAAAACCCACACGCUGCAGCUCUACAGCUCCCUCAAGGAGAAGGAGUGGGACGACAGAGUGAGUGACGAGCAGUGCCUGUUGAUCAUGUCGGUGCGUAAGGGAAAGCGCCUCAUCUCCAGGCUCAUCCCUUUCCUGCCUCCGCUGCAGGCCGCCACCGUUGUCAUGGGGAUUGCCCGGAACCUGCCCGCCCUGGCCAAGAAAGACAAACAGGACCAGGUGCUGUGCUGGUUGGUGGAGCCCAUUGCCGUGGUGAUCUCAUCCCUAUCUAGCGCCUCCCUCACAGAUUUGCUGCAGGAGCUGCAAGGCAGCGAGGGUCAACUGUCCAGAGUGUUACAAAAUAAGUUUGGUGUGACACUGCUUUACCUGAUCCUGAGUGAAGGAGAGAGAAUGCAGAGCUCCAACCCCACCUGUCAACUCAUGGAUGACAAUCGAUGGACAGAGUUGGUGUUCUCUGUGACCAGGGAGCUGCUCAACGUGCCCUCCUCGUCCCUGUCCCCUCCUCUCUUCACCCCUCCCAACCUGCUCUCUCUCUUCUCGCGCUAUGUAGACCGACAGAGGCUGGAGCUGCUGCAGGAGAAGUUACAGUGAGUGCAGUCUCGCGCGUCCUUGGCCCAAUUUAAAUUCUCCCUGAAGUGUGCUGCUCCUACCUCCCCUUCAGUGAUUUGAAAAGCAUGAAUGGAUCUCCGCAUUGUCCAGGUAGAGGCGACUACAGACAUCAAGAGAAGCCCAGUUGAAGCGUGUGUGCGCGCACUAUUGUACCUAGAAGAGUAGGAUGUCUAAUAGGGUUGAUACUGAUUUUAAUCCAGCAGAAUCUGUCAUUUUUCUUUGUGUCCAUUAGGUGUGUAUGGGGAUGCGUGUGAGUGAGCGAUGAAACUGAGAAAAAAUAAAAUCAGCUUUUUUUAUUCUUGUUAACGUUGAUGCCUGUGAUAAAACAUCAAAUUAAAAGUAUUUCUAUUGUA